CCAUAAUUUAAUAUACUAUAUAAUAUAACUAUAUAAUAGACAUUACAAAAACCAUAUAUAUAAUAAAAAGCAAGUUCCAACUCAGAUCAACCCAUAUAGAAGUAGUAUUAUAUUUUUAUUUAUCUAAUAAAAGGGUAUUGGAGAUGAUCACAAGUACACUCAAUAUAUAGGGGCUUCCUUCCCUCAACAAUAAGCAGUGCAUUUCUUUUUGCAAUCAAUAGUGCAACCACCACCUCCACCGCCACCACCAUAGCCCUUGCCGGAGCGGCUGUAGGAAGUAAA
This 282-nucleotide long non-coding RNA is filed under the name Trifolium pratense (red clover). Its description in RNAcentral is "long non-coding RNA (TPRA_LNC010407)". The record is from RNAcentral. Lineage: Eukaryota; Viridiplantae; Streptophyta; Magnoliopsida; Fabales; Fabaceae.